GAAAAAUGAAGGGUAAAUUUUUGGGUAUUGCACACACUGAUAUGAUAAAGGCAAUUUUGUUUUUGUUUUUUUAUUGUUUUUUUAUCCAGUUAGCCAAAAAGCCAACACUGAAAUAAUUUCAUCCCUUGUUUGAAACCCCCUUGAGCCUAUUAUCCUUUUUUUUGUUUAAAACUCAUUACAAACCGAGAAGUAAAAAACAAUGUUAUCCCCAUAUUCAAAGGGUUGAAAGAAUCUUGUUUGAAGUUGUGUGGGGUUGAAUAAUUAUCUUUGUAAUAUUUCAGAAGUUGGUAGAAAAAGAAAAGAAAAAUAGAAAAAGAAAAUAGAAAAGAAAAAAAUGAAUGAAAAAAAUAUAAGGAUGUCAAUACAUGUCAAUACAUACUCCUUCUAAAAAAAUAAAUAAAAAGAGAAAGGAGAAGAGAAAACAAUUGCUAUAGAGUUGU
This 440-nucleotide long non-coding RNA is filed under the name Lathyrus oleraceus (garden pea). Its description in RNAcentral is "Pisum sativum (pea) long non-coding RNA (PSAT_LNC028428)". Lineage: Eukaryota; Viridiplantae; Streptophyta; Magnoliopsida; Fabales; Fabaceae. The record is from RNAcentral.